UGAUGACGAGACGCUAAGGCGUUGAAGCAGUGUAUGUCAUACUUCCAAGAAAAGCUUGCACUGUCAUAAACAAAGAAUGCCUGUACCAUAACCGACACAGGUGGGUAGGUAGAGUAUACUAAGGGGCGCGAGAUAACUCUCUCUAAGGAACUCGGCAAAAUGACUCCGUAACUUCGGGAGAAGGAGUGCCUUAUUUAUAAGGUUGCAAUAACAAGAUCCAAGCAACUGUUUAUCAAAAACACAGGUCUCCGCUAAGUCGUAAGACGAUGUAUGGGGGCUGACGCCUGCCCAGUGCCAGAAGGUUAAAGAAGUUGGUUAGUGUAUGCGAAGCUGAUGACUGAAGCCCUGGUGAACGGCGGCCGUAACCAUAACGGUCCUAAGGUAGCGAAAUUCCUUGUCGGGUAAGUUCCGACCCGCACGAAAGGCGUAAUGAUUUGGAUACUGUCUCGGAGAGAGGCUCGGUGAAAUAGACUUGUCUGUGAAGAUGCGGACUACCUGCACCAGGACAGAAAGACCCUAUGAAGCUUUACUGUAACUUGAAAUUGGAAUUGGACUUUGCUUGCGCAGUAUAGGUGGGAAGCGUUGAAAAUAUUCUUGCGGGAGUAUUGGAGCUAUCAGUGAGAUACCACUCUUGUAAUGUUAGAUUUCUAACUUUGAACCAUAAUCUGGUCAAAGAACAGUUUCAGGUGGGCAGUUUGACUGGGGCGGUCGCCUCCCAAAUGGUAACGGAGGCGUACAAAGGUUUCCUCUGAACGGAUAGAAAUCGUAUCUAGAGUGUAAAGGCAUAAGGAAGCUUGACUGUGAGACCUACAAGUCGAGCAGGGACGAAAGUCGGUCUUAGUGAUCUGACGGUACUGAGUGGAAAGGCCGUCACUCAACGGAUAAAAGUUACUCUAAGGAUAACAGGCUGAUCUCCCCCAAGAGUUCACAUCGACGGGGAGGUUUGGCACCUCGAUGUCGGCUCAUCGCAUCCUGGGGCGGUAGUACGUCCCAAGGGUUGGGCUGUUCGCCCAUGAAAGCGGUACGCGAGCUGGGUUCAGAACGUCGUGAGACAGUUCGGUCCAUAUCCGGUGUAGGCGCUAGAAUAUUGAGAGGAGCCUUCUUUAGUACGAGAGGACCGAGAAGGACACACCGCUGGUGUACCAGUUAUCGUGCCAACGGUAAACGCUGGGUAGCUAUGUGUGGAGUGGAUAACCGCUGAAAGCAUCUAAGUGGGAAGCCCACCUCGAGAUGAGUAUUCCC
RNAcentral lists this ribosomal RNA (1242 nucleotides) under metagenome. RNAcentral describes it as "bacterial LSU rRNA". It matches the Rfam family "Bacterial large subunit ribosomal RNA", at positions 1564 to 2815 of the family's 2925-position model. The record is from RNAcentral.